RNAcentral lists this long non-coding RNA (1039 nucleotides) under Oncorhynchus mykiss (rainbow trout). RNAcentral's name for it is "lncRNA (ENSOMYG00000059229.1)". Lineage: Eukaryota; Metazoa; Chordata; Actinopteri; Salmoniformes; Salmonidae. The record is from RNAcentral.
CUCAGCCUCCCCAAAUUUUUUCCAAUCCAGCUGCAGCACUGGGGAGGGGGAGGAUUGUGGGGGUAGACCCAGGGUGCAGGGCACCCCGGAGCCAAACACUAUUCCUGCAUCCUGGGUUGGUGAGAUGGAGGAAGAGGGGGGGAUGUUGGGAGUACAGAUGGUGUCAUCACCGGUAGAUAUGGAGCAGGGGAGCAUCGGGUGAGUCUCCUGUUUUUGUUUUUUUCUGUCUGGGUUUAGAAUUUGAGUGUAUUACAUGUUUUUAUUUCAUUCUUUCAUGGGGUCUGAUUUUACUUUUGUUAGUUUAAAUGUAAGGGGUUUAAGGGAUUGUGUUAAGAGGAGGGCGGUUUUUAGUUAUUUGGAGGGUGUGGGGUUUGAUUUUUGUUUUUUACAGGAGGUUCACCUGAGGGAUGGAGGGGAUGUUAAUAGGUUUAAGAGGGAGUGGGACAAGGGGGAGUCGGUUGGGGGGGUGCACUCAUCGGGGGUAGGGAUUUUGUGUGGGCACAGGGAGGUUAAAGUGGAGGAUUCUUUUGUGGUAAUGCAGGGGAGGGUUAUAGGGGUGGAUGUCAUGAUAAGGGAUUGUAAUUUUAGAUUAGUGGUGGUGUAUGGACCACAGGUGGUGGCAGACAGGAGGGAGAUGGUGGACUGUCUGACGCCCCUGUGUGUCACAAAUAGGAAAUUAGUGAUAGGGGGGGAUUUUAAUGCAGAUUUAGGAAGAGGGGGGGAUAGCAGUGCAGGCGCCAUUGCCAGGCUAAUGGCUUGCCAUGGUCUGGUAGAUGGUGGUCUGCACACUACUCCGAAAAUGGACGGUCCUACAUGGCGCAACUCCAGGGGGGUUGAGCGGAGGCUCGACUAUAUUUUUGUACCCAGGUCUUUGGGUAAGUUGUCUGGGCGGCUGUUGCCUGUUUUCUUUUCGGAUCACGACGGGGUGCUCCUGCAGGUGGGGUCGCCAGUCUGCCUCUUUGGUAGGGGGUACUGGAAGCUAGAUCGGGAUGUGCUGGAGGAGCAGGCUUUUGUUGACGGGUUUUAUGGUUUCUUUUGG